GAUGUGAAGAAAACAACUAAGUGCAACAAUGAAACGCGAUCUCUUUAUUUGGUUUAUGAUUUCAUGAAAGCAGAAACAAUGGAUCACAAAUCGGAUGCAAAUAAAAGAGACAAGGAUAGAUAUAACCUGAUGCUGAAGGAACUUCAGCUCUGAUACCAGAAAUGAUACAAGCCUAAGCUAUCAAAGGCUGUACGUUCCCAAGCAAGAGAGAGAAGGAUACACCAGGAUGAAUCACUCGGUAAGAAGCUUGAUUUGGAUACAUAAAGUGGUGGAUAAUC
Molecule: long non-coding RNA, 278 nt
Filed under: Brassica napus (rape)
Lineage: Eukaryota; Viridiplantae; Streptophyta; Magnoliopsida; Brassicales; Brassicaceae
Description: long non-coding RNA (BNAP_LNC003930)
Source: RNAcentral